This 289-nucleotide long non-coding RNA is filed under the name Mytilus galloprovincialis (Mediterranean mussel). The record is from RNAcentral. Lineage: Eukaryota; Metazoa; Mollusca; Bivalvia; Mytilida; Mytilidae.
UCACGUGAACUAUAAUACGUCAUAUAAUGAUCUCAUAAUGGCGUCUCUGAAUCGUCAACGAUCUUGUCGUUUCUGCUAUGUCCAUUCGGUUGACCAUUUACCAUGCGCACUAGCUGUUAAAUGAUUUGAACUCUCUGAGUCUGUACGAACAUUUGUUUAUUCGGUAUUCCAAGACGGAAUACGUUUUUAUUAUCGCGACGACAAAUUAUCCUUCGAACAAAAGAUAGAAAUUCCUCUCGAAAAAGUUUACCCGUUAUCAAAUAAAUAUAAAAGUUGAAAGCAUAAUGAG